UGAGGAAUAUUGGUCAAUGGGCGGGAGCCUGAACCAGCCAAGCCGCGUGAGGGAAGAAGGCCCUAUGGGUCGUAAACCUCUUUUGUCAGGGAACAAAAGCGAGUAUGUAUACUAGUCUGAGUGUACCUGAAGAAAAAGCAUCGGCUAACUCCGUGCCAGCAGCCGCGGUAAUACGGAGGAUGCGAGCGUUAUCCGGAUUUAUUGGGUUUAAAGGGUGCGUAGGCGGCGAUGCAAGUCAGCGGUAAAAGCCCGGGGCUCAACCCCGGCGAGCCGUUGAAACUGCAGUGCUAGAGAAGGCGAGAGGUACGCGGAAUGCGCAGUGUAGCGGUGAAAUGCUUAGAUAUUGCGCAGAACUCCGAUUGCGAAGGCAGCGUACUGGCGCCUGACUGACGCUGAGGCACGAAAGCAUGGGUAGCAAACAGGAUUAGAUACC
This 433-nucleotide ribosomal RNA is filed under the name uncultured bacterium. RNAcentral describes it as "bacterial SSU rRNA". It matches the Rfam family "Bacterial small subunit ribosomal RNA", at positions 355 to 786 of the family's 1533-position model. The record is from RNAcentral.